AUGGAGAUGAGAAGAUGCAAGUUCCAUGAAUAUUGUUUAUUUCUCACCUGUGCAAACCAGUCCGUGAAAUUCAGCAGAUUGGAGAGGAGAUUACUGCCAGUGUGUUGCUGGCUAGAACAGAAGAAGCCAAAGAGCACAAGCCAUUUCCCGUUUUCCACAACUUCUCUCACAGCUCAGGUAACUGCUGAUGGAAAUACUGAUGGAAGGAGUGAGGACCAGGAGAACGAUACUUCUGUUGUUUUGGGUUAUGCAUUGCAGGUGAAAGUGCAUGGUCAGAGUCAGAGUGUGUGUAGAAGAAAGAAAAAAGUUUCUCUUUGUAAAGGAGCAUUUUAUCCUUGCUUACCACAUUGGAAAACAACAAAGAGAAAGAUGGCUGCAGCCACUGCGCCAAAAAGAGAGAGAGAUAGAGUGAGAGUAUAAGGGAUAUGUACAGAGUGGACAAAAUGUGGCUUUCAAAAUGUUAAUUUUGUAGGGUGGUGUGUAGGGUAGUUCUUUUUGCAUUAGAGAAUUUAACUUUUUGAAAGUUAUUACCUCUAUGCAACACCAUACUGCUGCUUCUCUUCCAGCUAGCUUAAAGAGCAGGGGUUUAUGUUCCAGGGAAGGUGUUGUGGCAUUUGAUUUGAAGCCCAUGGCUUAUUGGAAAUUGCAGUUCUGCUGCUUUUUGGCAAUUUUGGUUGAUCUUUUUUAGUAUUGUGGUUGACUGUGUAACUAAUGUGCCCUGGUUUUAGGUUCUUUGCUAUAAGGAGAGCCCAAUUCUGUAUUUCAGCAGAACAUCAUAAACUGCCUUAGGAGUCUGAUAUGCUGCUCAGAGAAUUUGAUGGGGAAUAGAACAAGAUUCUCUUAUGAUUCCUAGCACCUAAUUACUGAAUCACAAAUAAGAUUGUGACAUAAAUCUGAGUUACCAUUUUCUUGUAUGCUUUGCUCAUCUGUGCUGGUUUUUCCAAGACUUUCUCUUAACUCUUUAUGGCCCUGAGGAGCAAUCUUUUUUAGCAUCCGUUGCAUCUCGAUCAGAACUCAUAACUUAGCAGUAAUUUCCAGAAAUGUUAAUGGAAAUAUUUAGCAUAUAAGGCUCAACAGGAAUACCUUGGAGAGGUAAAAUAGACAAUUAGAAGUCUUCCAGUUCAUCCCAAAAAUUUACCUCUCACUGACCUUAUAUCUGCUUCACAUACUAAAUAAACAUAAACACAAACACA
Molecule: long non-coding RNA, 1193 nt
Filed under: Cyanistes caeruleus (blue tit)
Lineage: Eukaryota; Metazoa; Chordata; Aves; Passeriformes; Paridae
Description: lncRNA (ENSCCEG00000020446.1)
Source: RNAcentral